CGGGGCGGGGGCGUGCGCCGGGGGCUGCUGCUGCUGCGGCGGCGUCCCUUUCGAAGCGCCCGAAAUCUCGACCUCCGCUUCACCGCCGCUUCAACUGACACGCGCCGCCAGCCACCCGGAGUUCCUUCACCCGCCCGCACGUUUUAAAAUAAAGAAGACACGACACGGAAAAAGACUCUUCGGAGUCUGAGGCGCUGACUGGGUUGGUCGCCAAGCGGGGGAGGGAGGGCCGGCUGCCGAAGGCCGGGCGGCGGGUGGACCUUCCUGGCUCGGCGCUGCGCAAAGUCGCCCUCCAGCCCGCGGGGCAUGCGGCGAUGAGCUCAUCAUGGCCUCGUGAUGUGGCAUUUCUGUUAACUUCUUUGCAGAGGAAAAUGAGCCUUUGUUGGAAUGAAGCAACAGAGAAGGUUUACCAAGAACACUAAAAGCAGGCAUGUAGCGACCUUACUGGUGGCCAGGGGACAAAGUGCAGCCAGGGGGCUUCCAUCUUUUUACUUCGCGUGUGCAAAGUAUGCAUACCACCAAAGCCACACCCUUGACUGUGCAGCCCAAGCCAAGCCCCCAGUCAUGGAACUUCUAGCUCUUUAUCUUAACAAGAUAAAAAGGACAAUGGAAAAGAUGGCUCUGCCUCUACAUGUGUGCAAAUGUUGAUCGUACCAACGGUAUAAUUAGUUGAGCACCAUCCCACACAUGCAACUGUGAAUGGAGCAGCCUGACAAUCACACAUCCCAUAUGGUCCAACAAGAAAAGCUGCUUCUGCUUUAUUUGUCAACAUCUUGGAAGUCCAAUUGUUGUCAGCAGUCGGAGCGGGGGGACUGCUCUUGGCAACAUUUCAAAACCCUCCCCCAUGCUAUUUUGCAUCCUAGAACUUUCAAACAUCUUGCUCGGGCCUGUGACUUGCUGAUCUGUUUUUCAAGACACAGGAAAGUCUCAAGAGCCCUCUGGACUAAGUCAAGAAAGACCCCUCUGGAGGUGGGUGCUUAAAGUUGCCAGUCUGUCUCCUCAGGGUGGAACAAGAUAUUAAAGUUGAUAUGGGCGCUUUCCAGACUAAACCCUGCAAUGGGGUCACGUCAGAUCUCGGAAGUGUCCUUCCACACUUCCUGCGUUGUGACACCACAGUCCCUACGCGGUCAGCAGGGUGUUGUUCACAUUGCCAAUGCCUUGUUUUGAAUGUAAUCAUUGCGAUAUAGAGCUAGGACGUCGUAUAUCUGGAGUAAGGAAGUUGCUGGUUUUUUGGGUUGUGGUUGUGGUUGUUAAUUCGAUUUCUAUACUAAUAGCUAGUCUGGAAAGCGCCAUGGGGAGAUGACUCCUAUUGAGUUUGUCUGUCUCUCCUCCUUGUAACGGAGGAACACACUUCUUUGUAUCAUGAUCAGGACUGGUCCUAGGGUUUUUGGUGCCCUGGGCAAAGUUUGACUUUGGUGCCGCCCCCGUGCAGUGGGGAAGAGUGGAGCCCCAGCUUUAACUUGAGCCACGCAGGCUGCUCAUUCGCUGGGUUGAAUGAGCAGCCUGCAUGGAUGACCAGCGAAUUACUAGCCUGUGUAAGUCUGUGGACACAGUGAAAGAGGGGAAAGGGUCGAGGAGUUUGGAGCCUGCCCAAUGCUUGCCCUUCCUCUAUUGCCGCUCUGUCUGUCUCCUUGAAAGGCAUUUUUAACAGUGCUGCGAAGAGCUUCCCUCUGCAACCAACCAGGCCUGACUGCAGUCAAGCCAAUCGUCAUGUGCACCACUUCCUUCCUGUUUUGGGUCCAGGCGAUUGAGGAACCAGGAUGGAGGCUCCCGCCUGAGCAAAUGCAACAGUAACACAGCAGAACUAGGCAGGGAGCAGGUAGGAAUGGAGAAAACUGUGUGUGUAUGUGUGUGGGGGAAGCAAGCCAGAGACCAGGAGGCAGCCCCCACCCACUUGACUUCUGCCCAGCAAGCUGCAGUGUAGAAUUGGUGCCUUGGGUGACUGCCUAGGUCAGUGAUUCUCAAACUUGGGUCCUCAGGUGUUAUUGGACUUCAACUCCCAUA
Molecule: long non-coding RNA, 2004 nt
Organism: Hemicordylus capensis (graceful crag lizard)
Lineage: Eukaryota; Metazoa; Chordata; Lepidosauria; Squamata; Cordylidae
Exons: 3
Source: RefSeq, a predicted model, not a curated record